Molecule: small nucleolar RNA, 104 nt
Filed under: Microcebus murinus (gray mouse lemur)
Lineage: Eukaryota; Metazoa; Chordata; Mammalia; Primates; Cheirogaleidae
Description: Small nucleolar RNA U13 (ENSMICG00000043314.1)
Rfam family: Small nucleolar RNA U13
Source: Rfam by way of RNAcentral
AUCCUUUUGUAGUUCAUAAGCGUGAUGAUUGGGUUUUCACGCGCAUGCGUGAGAUGUGCCUCCCUCAAACCUUGUUACGACAUCGGCACAUUACCCGUCUGAUG